GACCCCUUCAGGGGGGCAACACCAACCGUCCUGAAUGCUUUCGAAAGGAUCUAAAAAAAACUUACCUUUGGGAUCCCGAAAGAGGUCAAACUAGGCUGAACCGGGGAAAACCAAAGAAAUUUCUUGGAAGCCCCGAUGGUUUCUAAGGGCAAUCCGUCGCCAAUUGGGGUAAGGGGCAAAAGAAUAAUCAACUUUCGGC
Molecule: ribosomal RNA, 199 nt
Filed under: Picoa juniperi
Lineage: Eukaryota; Fungi; Ascomycota; Pezizomycetes; Pezizales; Pyronemataceae
Description: partial 28S ribosomal RNA
Source: RNAcentral